This is a long non-coding RNA of Heterocephalus glaber (naked mole-rat), 393 nucleotides long. NCBI's taxonomy places the organism in Eukaryota, Metazoa, Chordata, Mammalia, Rodentia, Bathyergidae. The record is from Ensembl.
CUUGGAAGCACAGUUUUAUUCUCUCUUGGAUGGCUACUCUGGGGGAAGCUGGCCAUUACCCUGUGAGGCAACUCCAGGGUAAGCUCAGAAUCAUUGGAUGAAUUAAGCAUGUGAAAGGAGGUACCACUGCAUUUCAAUCCAAAAGGAAUGAAGCAUUGUCUACUGGAGAGACAUGAACAAAAGUCUGGGGCCUUUGGCCAGAGGUAAUUUUCUGUGAAUGGAGAAUUGAUGAGGGAAGAGUGCAAGCCAGAAGAAUCGACCAUCUAAGGCAGCAGUUGAUAUGAUGUGGAUUUACUGCAGUGGCAGCAGAGGUGCUAAGUAUUCAAAUCCACAGAAGUGACUUUCAACAUGGGAUGAUUUUCCCCCAAACUUUCUCCCAUUGUGGGGCUUUUG